This 965-nucleotide long non-coding RNA is filed under the name Musa acuminata (dwarf banana). RNAcentral describes it as "long non-coding RNA (MACU_LNC002049)". Lineage: Eukaryota; Viridiplantae; Streptophyta; Magnoliopsida; Zingiberales; Musaceae. The record is from RNAcentral.
UCUAUUCUGUUGAGGAAAAUCCUCUAUUCUGUUAGGGAAAUCCUUCCUCCUAAUUCCUAUAAAUAGGAGAGGGAACAUGUUAAUAGAUUUAAGCUAAAGCUAUUUCAUUUCUACAAUAAAGCUUUUUCAAUUAUUGUUCUUAUCUUCUAUUAUUUCUAUCAUGGUAUCAGAGCCGCUUGCCUAGAGCAAGCUCUCUUCUCGCUGCCAAUUCAUCAUUGGUGUUGCCACUCUGCGCCAACGUCCGUUCCCUUCCGCUACGGCAUCUCUAGUGCUGCUCAUCAGUACUGCCCCACCUUUCUUCCUCGUUGUAGCUAUUUUCCUUCCUCUUCUGCUAUAGCUUCCUCUUCUACUACAGCUUCCUCCUCUGUUGCAGUUUCCUCCUUUGCUGUAGUAGCAUCACUGCAACAUUGCUGUAGAUUUCUUCUCUACCGUCGCAGCCGUAACAGCAACAGCGAUCUACACUUAUCUUACUCAUGAAGCCUCUCGCUUGUAAACAAUUCUUUGCAUCGAUCCAAGAUUGGUAUCCUUGUCAGGAGCACCAUCUUGCGGGGGCAUGAUAGAAGAUAAGAUUUUCCUAACUAUAUGAGGAAAUUUCUCUAUUCUGUUGAGGAAAAUCCUCUAUUCUGUUAGGGAAAUCCUUCCUCCUAAUUCCUAUAAAUAGGAGAGGGAACAUGUUAAUAGAUUCAAGCUAAAGCUAUUUCAUUUCUACAAUAAAGCUUCUUCAAUUAUUGUUCUUAUCUUCUAUUAUUUCUAUCACAUUUGGUUAUCUAUCUGAUUUUUUUUUUUUUUUGCAAUUUCACAUCUAUAUGAUUUGAUAUAUUUUAUAUCAUACAUGCAGAUUGUGUCUUUUUAACGUUAUCUAUCUUAAUUACUGUAAUAUUAAAUUUACAUGCAAGCAUUGAAAUAUGAUAGUUACAGCAUUUAUCUAUUUUUAAUAAUUAUUUAUAAAUACCUUCUGUUGUAAG